This 69-nucleotide transfer RNA is filed under the name Enterobacter hormaechei. RNAcentral describes it as "tRNA-Ile". The record is from RNAcentral. RNAcentral also lists the same sequence under 1 other name. Lineage: Bacteria; Pseudomonadati; Pseudomonadota; Gammaproteobacteria; Enterobacterales; Enterobacteriaceae.
CCGCGAUUAGCUCAACGGGAAGAGCGUGUUAUAUGCAGGUACGGGGUUCGAGUCCUCGAUGGCGGUCCA